RNAcentral lists this non-coding RNA (31 nucleotides) under Homo sapiens (human). Lineage: Eukaryota; Metazoa; Chordata; Mammalia; Primates; Hominidae. The record is from RNAcentral.
UGCCAAACUGUGUGCUCUAGGACGAGCCAUU